RNAcentral lists this ribosomal RNA (491 nucleotides) under uncultured bacterium. RNAcentral describes it as "partial 16S ribosomal RNA". It matches the Rfam family "Bacterial small subunit ribosomal RNA", at positions 28 to 507 of the family's 1533-position model. The record is from RNAcentral.
GAUGAACGCUGGCUACAGGCUUAACACAUGCAAGUCGAGGGGAAACGCCAGGGAAGCUUGCUUCCCCGGGCGUCGACCGGCGCACGGGUGAGUAACGCGUAUCCAACCUGCCUCUGACUGAGGGCUAACCCGUCGAAAGUCGGCCUAAUACCAAAUGGCAUCGUCGGCGGGCAUCCAACGACGAUUAAAGAUUUCAUCGGUCAGUGAUGGGGAUGCGUCUGAUUAGCUUGUUGGCGAGGUAACGGCCCACCAAGGCGACGAUCACUAGGGGUUCUGGGAGGAAGCCCCACCACAUUUGAGCUGAGACACGGUCCACACUCGUACGGGAGGCAGCAGUGAGGAAUAUUGGUCGAUGAGCGCUAGCCUGAACCAGCCAAGUGGCUUGCAGGAUUACUCCGCUAUGGGUUCUAAGCUGCUUGGAUGCGAGGAUAAAGUAAGGAACGUGUCCUUCAUUGCAGGUACCGCAUGAAUAAGGACCGGCUAAUUCCGUG